AUGAACGCUGGCGGCGUGCCUAAUACAUGCAAGUCGAGCGAACAGACGAGGAGCUUGCUCCUCUGACGUUAGCGGCGGACGGGUGAGUAACACGUGGAUAACCUACCUAUAAGACUGGGAUAACUUCGGGAAACCGGAGCUAAUACCGGAUAAUAUAUUGAACCGCAUGGUUCUAUAGUGAAAGACGGUUUUGCUGUCACUUAUAGAUGGAUCCGCGCCGCAUUAGCUAGUUGGUAAGGUAACGGCUUACCAAGGCAACGAUGCGUAGCCGACCUGAGAGGGUGAUCGGCCACACUGGAACUGAGACACGGUCCAGACUCCUACGGGAGGCAGCAGUAGGGAAUCUUCCGCAAUGGGCGAAAGCCUGACGGAGCAACGCCGCGUGAGUGAUGAAGGUCUUCGGAUCGUAAAACUCUGUUAUUAGGGAAGAACAAAUGUGUAAGUAACUAUGCACGUCUUGACGGUACCUAAUCAGAAAGCCACGGCUAACUACGUG
RNAcentral lists this ribosomal RNA (496 nucleotides) under uncultured bacterium. Its description in RNAcentral is "partial 16S ribosomal RNA". It matches the Rfam family "Bacterial small subunit ribosomal RNA", at positions 29 to 507 of the family's 1533-position model. The record is from RNAcentral.